Molecule: transfer RNA, 63 nt
Filed under: Capsala katsuwoni
Lineage: Eukaryota; Metazoa; Platyhelminthes; Monogenea; Capsalidea; Capsalidae
Description: tRNA-Arg
Source: RNAcentral
UUUGGUAAACUAAAGGUUAGGCCUAUAUUUCGGCUAUAGAUUUUGGACGAUGUCCUACCAAAU